RNAcentral lists this ribosomal RNA (756 nucleotides) under Micrococcus sp. 46. Its description in RNAcentral is "bacterial SSU rRNA". It matches the Rfam family "Bacterial small subunit ribosomal RNA", at positions 108 to 877 of the family's 1533-position model. The record is from RNAcentral. Lineage: Bacteria; Bacillati; Actinomycetota; Actinomycetes; Micrococcales; Micrococcaceae.
GAGUACACGUGAGUAACCUGCCCUUAACUCUGGGAUAAGCCUGGGAAACUGGGUCUAAUACCGGAUAGGAGCGUCCACCGCAUGGUGGGUGUUGGAAAGAUUUAUCGGUUUUGGAUGGACUCGCGGCCUAUCAGCUUGUUGGUGAGGUAAUGGCUCACCAAGGCGACGACGGGUAGCCGGCCUGAGAGGGUGACCGGCCACACUGGGACUGAGACACGGCCCAGACUCCUACGGGAGGCAGCAGUGGGGAAUAUUGCACAAUGGGCGAAAGCCUGAUGCAGCGACGCCGCGUGAGGGAUGACGGCCUUCGGGUUGUAAACCUCUUUCAGUAGGGAAGAAGCGAAAGUGACGGUACCUGCAGAAGAAGCACCGGCUAACUACGUGCCAGCAGCCGCGGUAAUACGUAGGGUGCGAGCGUUAUCCGGAAUUAUUGGGCGUAAAGAGCUCGUAGGCGGUUUGUCGCGUCUGUCGUGAAAGUCCGGGGCUUAACCCCGGAUCUGCGGUGGGUACGGGCAGACUAGAGUGCAGUAGGGGAGACUGGAAUUCCUGGUGUAGCGGUGGAAUGCGCAGAUAUCAGGAGGAACACCGAUGGCGAAGGCAGGUCUCUGGGCUGUAACUGACGCUGAGGAGCGAAAGCAUGGGGAGCGAACAGGAUUAGAUACCCUGGUAGUCCAUGCCGUAAACGUUGGGCACUAGGUGUGGGGACCAUUCCACGGUUUCCGCGCCGCAGCUAACGCAUUAAGUGCCCCGCCUGGG